Cucurbita maxima (winter squash) is the source of this 159-nucleotide long non-coding RNA. RefSeq lists it as uncharacterized. The record is from RefSeq and is a predicted model, not a curated record. Lineage: Eukaryota; Viridiplantae; Streptophyta; Magnoliopsida; Cucurbitales; Cucurbitaceae. The transcript has 3 exons.
AUGAUGGAGUCCCCUUCGUUUGCAUUAGAUCUCAAGAUGGUGGGUCCAUUGGAAGGAGACAUGCAUUCAGUGGCUUGUCUACGAGAAACCCUAUUUCCUUCCCUAACUGCAAAUCAGACAAAAUAGAACAAGUUCUGUGGGGGGUAAUAAAUUUUUGGA